GGAGUGCAAUGGCAUAAGCUUGCUUGACUGUGAGACCAACAAGUCGACCAGGGUCGAAAGACGGACAUAGUGAUCCGGUGGUUCUGUAUGGAAGGGCCAUCGCUCAAAGGAUAAAAGGUACGCUGGGGAUAACAGGCUGAUCUCCCCCAAGAGCUCAUAUCGACGGGGAGGUUUGGCACCUCGAUGUCGGCUCGUCACAUCCUGGGGCUGGAGAAGGUCCCAAGGGUUGGGCUGUUCGCCCAUUAAAGUGGCACGCGAGCUGGGUUCAGAACGUCGCGAGACAGUUCGGUCCCUAUCUGUUGUGGGCGUUGGAAGUUUGCGUGGAUCUGACCUUAGUACGAGAGGACCGGGUUGGACAGACCGCUGGUGUACCUGUUAUGCCGCCAGGUGUAUCGCAGGGUAGCUACGUCUGGAAUAGAUAAGCGCUGAAAGCAUCUAAGUGCGAAACUAGCCACAAGAUGAGACUUCCUCAUAAGGGUCGUUGUAGACUACGACGUUGAUAGGUUACAGGUCUAAAGGUAGAGAUAUCAAAGCCGAGUAAUACUAAUCGCCCGAAGCUUUCCAUAG
RNAcentral lists this ribosomal RNA (567 nucleotides) under Sphingobacterium sp. UT-1RO-CII-1. RNAcentral describes it as "partial 23S ribosomal RNA". It matches the Rfam family "Bacterial large subunit ribosomal RNA", at positions 2346 to 2925 of the family's 2925-position model. The record is from RNAcentral. Lineage: Bacteria; Pseudomonadati; Bacteroidota; Sphingobacteriia; Sphingobacteriales; Sphingobacteriaceae.